CAGAAAAUAGUUUAACGUUAGAAUUCUGGCUUUGGGUGCCAGGGGUAGGAGUUAGAAUCUCCUUUUUCUGG
RNAcentral lists this transfer RNA (71 nucleotides) under Barboides gracilis. RNAcentral's name for it is "tRNA-Pro". It matches the Rfam family "tRNA". From Rfam's summary of the family: Transfer RNA (tRNA) molecules are approximately 80 nucleotides in length. Their secondary structure includes four short double-helical elements and three loops (D, anti-codon, and T loops). The record is from RNAcentral. Lineage: Eukaryota; Metazoa; Chordata; Actinopteri; Cypriniformes; Cyprinidae.